AAUCAACGCUGGCGGCGUGCCUCAGACAUGCAAGUCGAACGAGAACCUCCCUUCGGGGAGGGGACAGUGGCGCACGGGUGAGUAACACGUGGGUAAUUUACCUUUGGGUGGGGAACAACAGCCGGAAACGGCUGCUAAUACCGCAUAAUGCAGCGGCUCGACAUCGAGACAGUUGUUAAAGCGGGGGAUCGCAAGACCUCGCGCCUGAAGAGAAGCCUGCGGCGGAUUAGCAGUUGGUAGGGGUAAUGGCCUACCAAGGCGACGAUCUGUAACCGGCCUGAGGAGGGCGGUCGGUCACACUGACACUGACAUACGGGUCAGACUCCUACGGGAGGCAGCAGGUCGGGAAUUUUUGGGCGAAUGGGCGAAAGCCUGACCCAGCAACGCCGCGUGAAGGA
This 398-nucleotide ribosomal RNA is filed under the name uncultured bacterium. Its description in RNAcentral is "bacterial SSU rRNA". It matches the Rfam family "Bacterial small subunit ribosomal RNA", at positions 32 to 408 of the family's 1533-position model. The record is from RNAcentral.